GACGAACGCUGGCGGCGUGCUUAACACAUGCAAGUCGAGCGGAAAGGCCCUUCGGGGUACUCGAGCGGCGAACGGGUGAGUAACACGUGAGUAACCUGCCCCAGACUUUGGGAUAACCCUCUGAAACGGGGGAUAAUACCGGAUACGACACAGCUUCGCAUGGGGUCUGUGUGGAAAGUUUUUCGGUUUGGGAUGGGCUCGCGGCCUAUCAGCUUGUUGGUGGGGUGAUGGCCUACCAAGGCGACGACGGGUAGCCGGCCUGAGAGGGCGACCGGCCACACUGGGACUGAGACACGGCCCAGACUCCUACGGGAGGCAGCAGUGGGGAAUAUUGCACAAUGGGCGGAAGCCUGAUGCAGCGACGCCGCGUGAGGGAUGACGGCCUUCGGGUUGUAAACCUCUUUCAGCAGGGACGAAGCGUAAGUGACGGUACCUGCAGAAGAAGCGCCGGCCAACUACGUG
Molecule: ribosomal RNA, 462 nt
Filed under: uncultured bacterium
Lineage: Bacteria
Description: partial 16S ribosomal RNA
Rfam family: Bacterial small subunit ribosomal RNA
Source: RNAcentral